UACGGAGGAUCCAAGCGUUAUCCGGAAUUACUGGGCGUAAAGAGUUGCGUAGGUGGCAAAGUAAGUUGGUAGUGAAAUCGUGUGGCUCAACCAUGCUCACAUUACCAAAACUGCUUAGCUAGAGGAUGAGAGAGGUCGUUGGAAUUCCCUGUGUAGGAGUGAAAUCCGUAGAUAUAGGGAGGAACACCGAUGGCGUAGGCAGACGACUGGCUCAUUCCUGACACUAAGGCACGAAAGCGUGGGUAGCAAACGGGAUUAGAUACCGUGUAGUCC
Molecule: ribosomal RNA, 273 nt
Filed under: uncultured prokaryote
Description: partial 16S ribosomal RNA
Rfam family: Bacterial small subunit ribosomal RNA
Source: RNAcentral